Molecule: ribosomal RNA, 253 nt
Filed under: uncultured bacterium
Lineage: Bacteria
Description: partial 16S ribosomal RNA
Rfam family: Bacterial small subunit ribosomal RNA
Source: RNAcentral
UACGUAGGGUGCAAGCGUUAAUCGGAAUUACUGGGCGUAAAGCGCGCGCAGGCGGUUGGUCGCAUCGGCGGUGAAAGCCCCCCGCUCAACGGGGGAGGGUCCGUCGAGAUGGGCCGACUGGAGGCAGGGAGAGGUCAGUGGAAUUCCGGGUGUAGUGGUGAAAUGCGUAGAGAUCCGGAGGAACACCAGUGGCGAAGGCGGCUGACUGGACCUGACCUGACGCUGAGGCGCGAAGGCGUGGGGAGCGAACGGG